This 74-nucleotide transfer RNA is filed under the name Pteropus alecto (black flying fox). It matches the Rfam family "tRNA". From Rfam's summary of the family: Transfer RNA (tRNA) molecules are approximately 80 nucleotides in length. Their secondary structure includes four short double-helical elements and three loops (D, anti-codon, and T loops). Further hydrogen bonds mediate the characteristic L-shaped molecular structure. tRNAs have two regions of fundamental functional importance: the anti-codon, which is responsible for specific mRNA codon recognition, and the 3' end, to which the tRNAs corresponding amino acid is attached (by aminoacyl-tRNA synthetases). tRNAs cope with the degeneracy of the genetic code in two manners: having more than one tRNA (with a specific anti-codon) for a particular amino acid; and 'wobble' base-pairing, i.e. permitting non-standard base-pairing at the 3rd anti-codon position. Lineage: Eukaryota; Metazoa; Chordata; Mammalia; Chiroptera; Pteropodidae. The record is from Rfam by way of RNAcentral.
GGCUCCAUAGUAUAGUAGUUAGCACGUCUGCUUUACACACAGAAGGUCCCGGGUUCACUCCCCAAAUGUAGCCA